Molecule: long non-coding RNA, 2810 nt
Filed under: Polistes fuscatus (common paper wasp)
Lineage: Eukaryota; Metazoa; Arthropoda; Insecta; Hymenoptera; Vespidae
Description: uncharacterized LOC122519701, transcript variant X1
Source: RNAcentral
UAAUGCAACAAGAUAUAGAUAAAUUUUUAGAAAAAAGUUUAAUUGUAAGAUCGAUAGAACUUGUCUAACACGAUCGAAAUAAACGAUCCAUGAUUGAAAAGGAGAACGAAGAUUAGAUAAUAAAAAAGUAAAUAAAAAUAUGAUGUUAAGAACGAAAAGUCGUGGACAAGAUUGCCGGGGGUGGUUGCACGUCAUCGUCGGUGACGGGCUUGAGACGAACAGAAGGAAAUAGGGUCGCGAGACGUGGAACCGCUAUUUGAAAAGGGACAAGAAGGAGGUAGGGGAUUGGUGUGCUAGAGGAGGGUUAGAUGAAAGGGCGUUCAGUUAUGGGAAAAUACGAAAGCCGAAGAGAAGGGAGAAGAAGAAGGAAGGAAUAUGUCACCUGAAUACCACGGUAAUGUUCACAAAAUGCCGGAAAUAUAAGCAAACGCGUCGCGGCAACGCUCCUGGGAACUGUCGUUUACAUAAAUAGCUUGCACCGGUGGAGAUUCCGCGCGUAGCAUUCAACGCUGACGACCGUGCACGCAGGUAGCAACAGAACGUGUACGUGUCUCAAUAUUUGACGGCAGAAUUUCCGAGCAUUUGCCUACCAAAUGCAACUUGGUGUCCUUCCUAGCCAACACUCACCAAUCCCGGUUCUACUCUUCGCAAGCCCUUAUCAAACUACUACUACUACUACUACUACUACUACUACUAUUACUACUACUACUAUUACUAUUACUAUAGGGCCGUUCUUCGCCCAGGACAUCUGGCCUACGUGUCAAACGGCAAGACUCAAGACGCCUACCUUGCAUCUUCUACAAACCUGGAUGCAACCGGAGACAGAUCGCUUUGAUUUCGUGAUAACAUUUUGUCCUUUCACUCCUUCGUCUCAUUGAUCGAUACAAUAUAGAAGAUCGAUUGAUUGAUUGAUCAAUCGAUCGAUCAAAUUCCCUAAUGUGAGAGCACGUGUUAAUUGUGUGCACCUGUUAAUUUAGAGGACGUCUAUUAUGUAUAGGGAGUUUACAUUGCAUGGAUUUUCCGAUCGAUAAUUCAAUUCCAGUGUACUUAGUCAUGCGUUUAUGCAUCUAUCGGAUAAAAAAAAAAAAAGUAAAAAAACACUUUACGACAAUAAACGAAUAUACAAAAUUACAUUUUAAAAUCGAUAGGAAUACUUGUUGUUUCAAUUAUUCAUUUAAUUAAUUGCAAAACUUUACGUAUAUACCUUUAUUGCCUUUUGUUAUACAGUCGCGUACUACUUGCUCAUUCAUUACGAGUAUUUUACAAUACGUUGUAUUUUACACUACGCAGCAAUUUACGCUACGCUUUUUAUACAACAUGAUUUAGAGUAGAGUUUUUAUUUUGGAUUUUAAUUUUUUCACGAGACGAAUAAGUGAAUUUUUUAUGCAUAACAUGUUCAUACCAAUAUAUACUUAUACCAUGUUCGAGUAUCGUUUAACUGAUAGGUUAAAUUUUUAUACAAAGUAAAUGGUAAAGAAUGAUUUUUCAUAUAUUCUAUUUUUGCAUAUUGUUGUUGCAAGAGAGAGCACAGUUCUUUUCUUGAUUCGAUAUAACAUUAUCUACGAUCCAUUCUAAUAAUACAAUAUUUUAGAUAAAUAUCUUUCCUAUUUCGAAUCGAAAAAGAAACGUUACGUAUUUACUUUUAUUAAAUUUAACUUUUCAUCGGAAUACGAUCGAUCGAAAGAAAUUUAUUGAUAGAAUAAUUAUAAAUUUAUGUUUGUAGAUGAAUAAACAAUUACUAUUUGCGUUAUUAAAUAUAUUUGAAAUAAACAUAAAAGUAUAAUUUACUCGGGGAUCGAUUGAAGCCCGUAAAAGAUUUUCACGGAAAGAAAUAACGGUGAAUUUAAAGAGGUGUAAGUCUUGGUGUAACGAUAACGUGAUGUUGCGGAAAAAUGAUUGAUCGUGUAAAAUAUAUAAUCGUUUGUUGUUUGUUCGAUAAAUGUAGGUCAUCAAAAUUACGCCGAUGCGCUUGCCAGCGUGGUGUGUGGUAUUGCUAUCGAUGAAAGAAAACAUUCACCAGCGCUUAUUUACGAGCUACACAUACCUGUUCUGUGUGCGUAUGUAUGUAUAUAUAAAUGUACACUUUGUACAACCUUUCUGUGUUUAUUUUCUAAUAUCUUCAGUUAUAAACGACACAUUGGCAAGUAUGCACGUUUCCUACGCGUACUGCUGGUAUUUACCUGUAGGCAACAUAUGUAAACAACGAUAUUUGAUUACAUUUUAGUUGAAAUUUAUUGCGUCAAGCAUAAUAGAGAUUACAUUUAAUCCGCUGUAUUCGACUAUUAAAAUAGAUAUUUAUUUGACGUAUUUUACAUGGCUAUAGGUAAACAAGUUUUCAAAUGAAAAUUGAUUCAAUAUCGAGGGAAAGCAAUUGUUACAAAAAAAUAAAACAUCAACGCAACGAGUUAAAACUUUUACCCUGAAGCAGCAUCACUAGGUUAACAGCAGAUGAUAUAUAUAUAGGGUGUAACAAUCUUGCGGGUAGCAGAUUAUAAGUGUCCUUGAAGUAUGAUAACUGGCUUGGACGCGGCGUCCUUUGCAGAUGCAAAGCUUUGAAACUUGUACGCCAUGAUUCUGUCGGAUUAGAAGUGUCUACGACGUUCCGUUAGGCUGGAGUAGGACGAUAGCGGUUGCAACUGUUCUCUGAGCUAAUACAAAGCUAAUUCGAAAGGGCCAAGGAUAGGAACACUAGUAGGAUUUUCGGUUCGAACAUAAGCAAUUUAAACUAGACUAUUGCUUAAACUCACGUAAUAUAUUAAUAUUAAGUGUGUAAAAUAAUUUUGAAAUAAUAUAAAUGGGAAAGUUGUUUA